This 358-nucleotide ribosomal RNA is filed under the name Bacteroides caecigallinarum. RNAcentral describes it as "bacterial SSU rRNA". It matches the Rfam family "Bacterial small subunit ribosomal RNA", at positions 351 to 726 of the family's 1533-position model. Lineage: Bacteria; Pseudomonadati; Bacteroidota; Bacteroidia; Bacteroidales; Bacteroidaceae. The record is from RNAcentral.
GCAGUGGGGAAUAUUGCACAAUGGGGGAAACCCUGAUGCAGCAACGCCGCGUGAGUGAUGAAGGUUUUCGGAUCGUAAAGCUCUGUCUUUGGGGAAGAUAAUGACGGUACCCAAGGAGGAAGCCACGGCUAACUACGUGCCAGCAGCCGCGGUAAUACGUAGGUGGCGAGCGUUAUCCGGAUUUACUGGGCGUAAAGGGAGCGUAGGCGGAUGAUUAAGUGGGAUGUGAAAUACCCGGGCUCAACUUGGGUGCUGCAUUCCAAACUGGUUAUCUAGAGUGCAGGAGAGGAGAGUGGAAUUCCUAGUGUAGCGGUGAAAUGCGUAGAGAUUAGGAAGAACACCAGUGGCGAAGGCGACU